This 39-nucleotide ribosomal RNA is filed under the name Schizophyllum commune. RNAcentral describes it as "partial large subunit ribosomal RNA". Lineage: Eukaryota; Fungi; Basidiomycota; Agaricomycetes; Agaricales; Schizophyllaceae. The record is from RNAcentral. RNAcentral also lists the same sequence under 6 other names.
CUUGACCUCAAAUCAGGUAGGACUACCCGCUGAACUUAA